This 526-nucleotide ribosomal RNA is filed under the name uncultured bacterium. RNAcentral's name for it is "bacterial SSU rRNA". It matches the Rfam family "Bacterial small subunit ribosomal RNA", at positions 336 to 862 of the family's 1533-position model. The record is from RNAcentral.
CUCCUACGGGAGGCUGCAGUAAGGAAUAUUGGUCAAUGGACGCAAGUCUGAACCAGCCAUGCCGCGUGAAGGAUGAAGGCCCUCCGGGUUGUAAACUUCUUUUACAGGGGACGAAAAAGGGUCUUUCCAGAUCAACUGACGGUACCCUGGGAAUAAGCACCGGCUAACUCCGUGCCAGCAGCCGCGGUAAUACGGAGGGUGCAAGCGUUAUCCGGAUUCACUGGGUUUAAAGGGUGCGUAGGUGGGCUUGUAAGUCAGUGGUGAAAUCUCCGGGCUUAACCCGGAAACUGCCAUUGAUACUACAGGUCUUGAAUUAUCCGGAGGUAAGCGGAAUAUGUCAUGUAGCGGUGAAAUGCUUAGAUAUGACAUAGAACACCAAUUGCGAAGGCAGCUUACUACAGAUUGAUUGACACUGAGGCACGAAAGCGUGGGGAUCAAACAGGAUUAGAUACCCUGGUAGUCCACGCCCUAAACGAUGGAUACUCGACAUUUACGAUAUACUGCAAGUGUCUGAGCGAAAGCAUUA